UUUUUGGAGAGUUUGAUCCUGGCUCAGGACGAACGCUGGCGGCGUGCCUAAUACAUGCAAGUCGAGCGGACCGAAGGGAGCUUGCUCCUUUAGGUUAGCGGCGGACGGGUGAGUAACACGUGGGCAACCUGCCCUGCAGACUGGGAUAACUUCGGGAAACCGGAGCUAAUACCGGAUAACACCGAAAACCGCAUGGUUUUCGGUUGAAAGGCGGCUUUUAGCUGUCACUGCAGGAUGGGCCCGCGGCGCAUUAGCUAGUUGGUGAGGUAACGGCUCACCAAGGCGACGAUGCGUAGCCGACCUGAGAGGGUGACCGGCCACACUGGGACUGAGACACGGCCCAGACUCCUACGGGAGGCAGCAGUAGGGAAUCUUCCGCAAUGGACGAAAGUCUGACGGAGCAACGCCGCGUGAGCGAAGAAGGUCUUCGGAUCGUAAAGCUCUGUUGUCAGGGAAGAACAAGU
This 464-nucleotide ribosomal RNA is filed under the name Aeribacillus pallidus. Its description in RNAcentral is "bacterial SSU rRNA". It matches the Rfam family "Bacterial small subunit ribosomal RNA", at positions 1 to 454 of the family's 1533-position model. Lineage: Bacteria; Bacillati; Bacillota; Bacilli; Caryophanales; Bacillaceae. The record is from RNAcentral.